GAGCAGAGUGACAUGAACGCCUGCAUUAAAUCCCUUUUAUACACAGACCGUGACCUUACAGUGACUCCCAUCAUGGAUAACCCAAAGUUCCCUGUGCUGGUUCAACAGAUUUGACAUGCUCCGAACUGGGAUAUAAGGGGCGAAGUGAUGCGAGUGAUUGGACUGAUGUCCUCCCACUGCACAGAGCUCAGAGACCACAUUCCAGUCAUGGAGGCAAUGGCCAUGUUCACAGAACUGAUCCGAGAGAUUUUCAAAAGCAGUAAAUUGAAACAAUUCUUGAUUCUGCCCCUGGGGAAGCUGCUCUACCUCAUUGCUACACAGGAAGAGAAGAAAGAGCGCCCAGGAGGAUUGUGGGUCGUUCCUGCUGCCGCCUACACCGUGUUAAUGAGGUGCCUUCGGGAAGGGGAGGAGUUGGUGGUGAACCACAUGGCUGCCAAAACCAUAGAGAACGUGUGCAGCCGUGAGUCUCAAUACACCCAGGGAUUCAUCACCGCAGAAGUGGGACCUGCUCUCUGGUAUUGGUUUACACACUCAACAGUGGGUGCACUAAGGAUCAUCGCUGUAUCUGACUUUGUUAUGAAGAUAAUCCGCUCUCUGGAGAGUCCAUAUUCAGUCAUCCAUGCCAAGGCCGUCCUCGUUCUUCUGCAGGUCCUUAUGAACAACAGAGAGAUGCUUUUGCUCUGCUGUAACUCCAGGCUGGUGAUGUACAUUGAAAGAGACGUCCGAAAGGCCACGCCAGGAAAGGAGCAACAAAGCGGCAAUGAAUACCUGUCAAAAUGCCUGACCCUCUUCAUCCGUCACACUGUGCACGAACUGCCAGCCAUCCUGGAUGACAUCCUGUCCGUGUUAGGCAGCAUUGUGGGAAGGAAGCACCCCUCUCCUACGCAGUCCCGUCAGCUGAAGCAGAGCCUCCCUAUGAUGGCUGUUGUGCUGCAUCUGCUCACCUCACAGAUCUUCCGACCGCAGGUGGUGACUGAGGCCUUUCUCAUCAAAUUUGGAAAACUGCUGGUUGUGGAUUUGAUUGUACCACUGCUGGCGUCUCUGGCCUUCAGUAAGAAUGUGGAAUGGCGUGUUGUGAGUUUGCGUGUGCUGUCAGAGAUCACGCUGCUGCUGCUGCUGAGCCAAGACGAGGUGGAGGAGAGUGAGAGAGACGGAGGGAGAGAACGAGAGGCAGAGUGGGAAGGUGAAGGCAUCUCAUCCAACACUCGCUUGCUGACGCUCAUCUCUGAGGCCCUGCUGCCACAGUAUGAGACUCUGCUUCUGGAGUCAGAUCCUGUACCGGUGUAUGCUCUCAAACUGCUGGUGUCCCUCACUGAGCACAGCUCACCCAUCAGCAGGCUUGUUAGAGAGAGCAGUCUCCUGCCUGCUAUCUUUCAAGUAAUAGAGGAGCACAAGAAUAACACAGUCGGCAGCAUGAUGCAGAAUGCCAUGGCUCUCCUCUGCAAUCUGACUGGACAGAAGGGCACAGACCUCAGACCAUUCGACCAGCAAGGUAUGAUUGCGGUGGUGUGUAAUGUCUUUGUGGAAGUCUCUGGUGUGAGACUGGAGAGAGAAAUGCUUUCAGGGCUGAAGAGCUGCUCUUUUCUGCUCCUCUGUCUGCUGGACAUCAUCCACUGCCUGCUCAAAAACCUUUCGUCUGUAGUCCGACUGGCCCUGCAGAGAUCAGACAGUAAUGAAGACACUGAGGCUGCAGAGGAACUACUGCUCAUCAAUAAGCCACUGACAAACCUAAACAACCUCCUCAUUCAGCUGCUGGCGUGUAAUGACAGUGAGGUGUAUGAGGAGGCCAGUCACUGUGUGUCUCUGCUGGCUCAGCUGUACGGAGGAGAGGGUGCGGACCGCCUGCAGCCGAAGGAGCUGCUCAGCCUGGCACACACACUGCAGACGCACACUGAACCCAGGCUGCUCCGUGUGCUAAAACGCUUGAUGAGUGCGGUUGGCAGCUCCUGUUGGGGUUCUUCACGUGCUGCAGAAACUGGCGCUGCCUACUAGAUUCGUACCUAAGGAUUCUGCAUACUAAGUCCAAUUCUGUGCUGGCUGUGCUACCAGGCAAGCUUGUGAUGUCCGAAAGCAAAACACGGAGCUGUAAUCAUAACAGCGUCUCAAUCCGACGUGGCAGUGGAAUCACUAGCUGCAGAGAUUCUGAAGGGCUUCGGGUUCCAGGCUGAACUCGGAGCCACAGAACAGAGUUUCACACCUGGUAUUUAAUAUGUAUGUGUAUAUGUAUGUUUGUGUGAGUACUCAUUUUGUAUCUGUUACUGUGAUUUAUAAGUUGCAUUUUGCAAGACUAUUGAACUCUUGUGACAGUAAAACGUACUCCAGAAUGAUUGCUCUACUUAAGCGAAUUUAAAAUCACAUUUGGUGUAUUCCAUGAAGAAAAAUGUCCACAAUUAUAUAAAUUUAAAGUCCAUUUUAUUGUUUAGCCAGGUCAUUACCAAGUCUCAAACCAACAAUCGCAGGCUACAAUAAUUAGGGGUUCAUUU
This is an RNA transcript of Carassius auratus (goldfish), 2483 nucleotides long. It is a transcript of the gene named serine/threonine-protein kinase ULK4-like, with no coding region annotated. Lineage: Eukaryota; Metazoa; Chordata; Actinopteri; Cypriniformes; Cyprinidae. The transcript is spliced from 21 exons. The record is from RefSeq and is a predicted model, not a curated record.